UAUGUAGGGUGCAAGCGUUAAUCGGAAUUACUGGGCGUAAAGCGUGCGCAGGCGGUUAUGUAAGACAGAUGUGAAAUGCCCGGGCUUAAACUGGGAACUGCAUUUGUGACUGCAUGGCUAGAGUUUGGCAGAGGGGGGUAGAAUUCCACGUGUAGCAGUGAAAUGCGUAGAUAUGUGGAGGAACACCGAUGGCGAAGGCAGCCCCCUGGGUCAAGACUGACGCUCAUGCACGAAAGCGUGGGGAGCAAACAGG
This 253-nucleotide ribosomal RNA is filed under the name uncultured bacterium. RNAcentral's name for it is "partial 16S ribosomal RNA". It matches the Rfam family "Bacterial small subunit ribosomal RNA", at positions 524 to 776 of the family's 1533-position model. The record is from RNAcentral.